GUUUUAUUAGCACCAGUGUGAUGGUUUUAGCAGCCCUGUGCAUAAAUAACUAUGAUGUCUUUUGUACAUUGUCAUAGUAUAUUACCAUUUGUAUGAUGUUUACCAGCAAACGAAAGGAGAGCUCAAAGAAUCUGGAAGCUUUUCAGUCCAGUGCAUGCGAGAACUCUGCAAAGAAGAAGAGUACACUAUCUUAAACAGUCUUGAGAAGCAGGAUGAGAUUGUGGAGGAGAGCACAUGUGUGGAGAGAGAAUGUCAGGAGAAGCAAGAAGAAAGGAUCCACCGUUGACAGGAACAGGAGCAGUUGGAGCCAGAAAAGCAACAGUGGAUAGAGGAGCAACAGAAGAUAUGUUGACUAACAUCAAGAAGUCACUGCAGGGUUAUCACUGCUGUCUGCAGUGAUAACAC
This is a long non-coding RNA of Carassius auratus (goldfish), 405 nucleotides long. RefSeq lists it as uncharacterized. The transcript is spliced from 3 exons. NCBI's taxonomy places the organism in Eukaryota, Metazoa, Chordata, Actinopteri, Cypriniformes, Cyprinidae. The record is from RefSeq and is a predicted model, not a curated record.